This 326-nucleotide long non-coding RNA is filed under the name Brassica rapa (field mustard). Its description in RNAcentral is "long non-coding RNA (BRAP_LNC008215)". Lineage: Eukaryota; Viridiplantae; Streptophyta; Magnoliopsida; Brassicales; Brassicaceae. The record is from RNAcentral.
CCAGUGAGCUCUUGUGCCUUAGAACCAGUGUGGUUGGACACAAGAAGCUCUGGAUCACGGCCUAACAGGUGCAGCAACUCUUCACAGCUUUGCGCACACUUCACACUUCACACUUCAGCUUCACCUCUUCAUGGAACCGGUUUGAAGUCUCCCCCUCUCAACUGACUUCACAGCCAUCUUAGAGAAGCUAGGACACGACCAGAUCAUCUUCAAAACACUAGUGAGGCUGAUCAACACUUCACACACGGCUUGCCCUCUUCCUAGAACUGGUUUGGAUCUCCCCCUCUCAACAGACUUCUCAGCCAUCUUAGAGAAGCUCGGAACUG